RNAcentral lists this long non-coding RNA (278 nucleotides) under Elaeis guineensis (African oil palm). Its description in RNAcentral is "long non-coding RNA (EGUI_LNC039347)". The record is from RNAcentral. Lineage: Eukaryota; Viridiplantae; Streptophyta; Magnoliopsida; Arecales; Arecaceae.
AUUCUUUUCUUUUCUUCUUUUUUGGUACAGAACUUUUGAUAAGCUUUAGAGAUUGAUUCAGAAGCAAAAUUACAAGGCGAAAAUGCCACACACAUGCAAUCCAUAUCAUAAUGAAAGGUUGAAUGAAUGGGAUAUAAUAAAAGUAUAAGACGGCUCGUACCAAUUCAUUUUUGUAGUAAUAGCAAGUUUUGAGAAAGCUCAAGGAUGCCCCUGUAACUACAGCAUCACAAGCAUUCUUAAUUCAACAAAAAGGAACUACUGGUCUGACCAUGGACACA